CGAUGAUACAGCCAUAAUGGCCUCUGAAGAAUUCCAGAAUAUACUGGACACUACCAUGGCGGCAUCUAUAAAUAAAGCGCUGGCCUCUGCCAUGGGGGCUAUGUCCGCUUCAUUCUCCCAAACUCUCACGCAAGCGCUCUCCCAAACCCAUAGCGCACACAUGGCUACCUCUGUGGUGCAUACCCCACCCGCCACUGCGGACACUGUACCCCGCAAGGCAAAAAAUAAAACAAAGC
Molecule: non-coding RNA, 236 nt
Organism: Pelobates cultripes (western spadefoot toad)
Lineage: Eukaryota; Metazoa; Chordata; Amphibia; Anura; Pelobatidae
Source: the annotation of a GenBank genome assembly